Molecule: ribosomal RNA, 253 nt
Filed under: uncultured bacterium
Lineage: Bacteria
Description: partial 16S ribosomal RNA
Rfam family: Bacterial small subunit ribosomal RNA
Source: RNAcentral
UACAGAGGGGGCAAGCGUUGUUCGGAAUUAUUGGGCGUAAAGGGCGCGUAGGCGGCCCGCUAAGUCGAACGUGAAAUCCCCGAGCUCAACUCGGGAACUGCGUCCGAUACUGGCGGGCUUGAAUCCGGGAGAGGGAUGCGGAAUUCCAGGUGUAGCGGUGAAAUGCGUAGAUAUCGUGAGGAACACCAGAGGCGAAGGCGGUUACCUGGACAGUUACUGACGCUCAGGCACGAAAGCAUGGGGAGCAAAAGGG